This is a long non-coding RNA of Camelus dromedarius (Arabian camel), 2039 nucleotides long. RefSeq lists it as uncharacterized. The record is from RefSeq and is a predicted model, not a curated record. Lineage: Eukaryota; Metazoa; Chordata; Mammalia; Artiodactyla; Camelidae. The transcript has 3 exons.
GACUGCUUUCUCUCCUCAAAACACAGCCCACCCCCUCUGCCAUCUGAUCAUCACUUCUUUUCCUGUACCCUCAAAGCUUCAGGCCUGGGGUGGGGGGCGGGGAAGCACUUCUCUGCAAUUCUGUUCUCAUUUUGCGUAUAAGUCCUGGGCCCCUCCAGAGAUACAUUUUGUUUUUCUUUUUCAUUUCUGGGUUUCUGAGUGGGUCUGGGCCCCGCUCUUCAUAGCCACCAGCCUGUGGUUGGAGAUUAAUUAAAUUUCAAGGACACAAGAGCCCAGGCCACAGCUCCACUGGCCUGCAGGGCGUCCAUGCUCCACAUGGCUCAGCACACAAAUGCAUGUGCCGUCCACCCUCCCCACCUCUGCACCUAACCUGCUGGCUUCUGACUCAACCGACCGAGCUCAGCGGAGAUUCCUGACAGCUUCUGAACACUGGGAAAUGAGAAGAAACCCUGCUACCUCCACUCAUCCUGUGGAAUAUUUCUAGAUUUGCCUAUUCCAGUCUAUUUCGUAGAAACAAAAAUCAUACGCAAGCUCUCAAUUACAAAACAUCAAACUACUCUUGAAAAUGCCAGCCACCGGCACCGGACGGAGAAGCCCACAAGGAAGGACAGAGAGCGGCAGGUGACAAGAGGUGGGAAGUGAUUCAAGCAGUGGUUACAAAUGUUCACAGGAAGCUAAAGCUCUCCAGCAGGUUGUGCCCUAACGUUAGCACAGGUUAGGCUGGUCACUACCUCGGCGAGUGGCUUCAGUGUGUUCGGGUUCAGCGUCUACACGCCAAUACAACUUCUUCCAGUUAUGAGCUCUUGGCUUGCACUGAUCACAGGAUGGCCAGAGGACACCAGACCAGUUUGUCAGUUUUUCAAAAUGCUGUCAUAGACCCAAGAGAUGUACUGGGAGACUUCAGGAGCUCCACACUUCAGUGACAGCGAGUGACUGGGAUUUCCUGGCGGGAUACGUAGCUCGGCCAAAAUCCAAACGCCAUUAGUGAGCUUCAGGGAUUGGUACGGCAUGUCCUGCCCUUCCAGGUUCCUCUCGGCAAUAGUAUAAACAUUGUUGUUUUGCAACUUGCUGGAAACAGUGUCAGCAUUUAAAUGACAUUCCUUUAUCUGAAACUUUGUCCCUGGUGAGGCAUAAGAACUGGGUGCCCCUCUGGGGUACAGUUUCUUGACAUACAAAUUAACCUUGGAUGUGAACAGACAAUUUAUAGAAGAAAGAGAAUUUGCAGAAACGCACAAGGGAAAUUUUUCAAACAGGUGACAAAACACUUUGAUUCAAACAGUGGGAUACUCUGUUAAAUAUGAAAUUUAGAUGAUCAAGCUAUAAAUUUAAAUGCAACUGGGAAAAGAUUAAAUUAGGAAAAAACUUUUCCAGCGGUGGUACUGUAAAUUGGUACAUACACCCUUUUGGAAAACAACGUGGCCAAAUGAAGUAAGUCAUAAAAAGGCUUAUAUCCUUAGACCCUGUAGUAUCACACCUGGGAAUUGAUCCAAAGGAAAAACAACUUUAGAGACGGGAAAAGGCACAUUGAGACACUCCCUUUGGUGUUAUCUGUCUGAGGAAUGCUGCUGAUAACAAAUAUCCGAAGAGACAGGACUAUGAGUAAACACUGAUAUAUUCCUUCAAAGCAAUGAGUAUGAACAAGGGCUGAAAAGUUUUGGGGUACGAAGUGCGUGAAUACAUUUUUUGUUCUUCUAUACAGAACCCAGUAAAACUGUAAUCAUGGCCUGUGAGCAGUCAAUAACUGUUUACAAAAUAAACUUUCAGAACAGGUAAUGGGUCAGGACUGCUGAACGGCGAGCCAACCGUGAUGGAAGUCCUGAAGACAAUGAGGGUGCCACUUGGAAGGAUUAUCUGAGAAGCCAACUGUGCAUGGUCGAUGUCAGAAGUAAACGUGCAGAUGCUCUAAAAAUGUCAAUGUCCAGGGGAGGGUAUAGCUCAAGUGGUAGAAUGCGUGCUUAGCAUGCAUGAGGUCCUGAGUUCAAUCCCCAUUACCUCCUCUAAAAAUCAGUACACCUAAUUACCUCCACUGCAAAAUAAAA